Molecule: ribosomal RNA, 255 nt
Filed under: uncultured bacterium
Lineage: Bacteria
Description: partial 16S ribosomal RNA
Rfam family: Bacterial small subunit ribosomal RNA
Source: RNAcentral
GACAGAGGUGCCAAGCGUUAGGCGGAAUCACUGGGCUUAAAGCGUGUGUAGGCGGAGUGCUAAGUACCUUGUGAAAUCCCACGGCUCAACCGUGGAACUGCUGGGUAUACUGGUUCUCUUGAGCGACCCAGGGGCGAGCGGAACAAACGGUGGAGCGGUGAAAUGCGUAGAUAUAGGGAAGAACACCAAUCAGGCGAAGGCAGUUAACUAUUCUAUUCCUGACAUUGAGGCAUGAAAGCGUGGGGAGCAAAACGG